GGAUGAACGCUGGCGGCGUGCCUAAUACAUGCAAGUCGAGCGAACAGACGAGGAGCUUGCUCCUCUGACGUUAGCGGCGGACGGGUGAGUAACACGUGGAUAACCUACCUAUAAGACUGGGAUAACUUCGGGAAACCGGAGCUAAUACCGGAUAAUAUAUUGAACCGCAUGGUUCAAUAGUGAAAGACGGUUUUGCUGUCACUUAUAGAUGGAUCCGUGCCGCAUUAGCUAGUUGGUAAGGUAACGGCUUACCAAGGCAACGAUGCGUAGCCGACCUGAGAGGGUGAUCGGCCACACUGGAACUGAGACACGGUCCAGACUCCUACGGGAGGCAGCAGUAGGGAAUCUUCCGCAAAGGGCGAAAGCUUGACGGAGCAACGCCGCGUGAGUGAUGAAGGUCUUCGGAUCGUAAAACUCUGUUAUUAGGGAAGAACAAAUGUGUAAGUAACUAUGCACGUCUUGACGGUACCUAAUCAGAAAGCCACGGCUAACUACGUG
Molecule: ribosomal RNA, 498 nt
Filed under: uncultured bacterium
Lineage: Bacteria
Description: partial 16S ribosomal RNA
Rfam family: Bacterial small subunit ribosomal RNA
Source: RNAcentral